AUUUAGAUAGCUUAAUUUUUAAAGUUUGAUAUUGAAAAUAUCAUGAUGGAUUUUUCCUUUAAA
This 63-nucleotide transfer RNA is filed under the name Geisha distinctissima. RNAcentral's name for it is "tRNA-Phe". The record is from RNAcentral. Lineage: Eukaryota; Metazoa; Arthropoda; Insecta; Hemiptera; Flatidae.